UACGUAGGGGGCAAGCGUUGUCCGGAUUAUUGGGCGUAAAGAGCGUGUAGGCGGUUUGGUAGGUCCGCUGUGAAAACUCGAGCUCAACCUCGAGACGCCGGUGGAAACCAUCAGACUAGAGUCCGGAAGAGGAGAGUGGAAUUCCUGGUGUAGCGGUGAAAUGCGCAGAUAUCAGGAAGAACACCCGUGGCUAAGGCGGCUCUCUAGUACGGUACUGACGCUGAGACGCGAAAGCGUGGGGAGCGAACAGG
This 251-nucleotide ribosomal RNA is filed under the name uncultured bacterium. Its description in RNAcentral is "partial 16S ribosomal RNA". It matches the Rfam family "Bacterial small subunit ribosomal RNA", at positions 524 to 776 of the family's 1533-position model. The record is from RNAcentral.